ACGUCCGUGUGCCCCGAUCCAUCCAUCAGUCGGUGCAACCCAGCCCAGCCCCGCACCGCAGCCCCUUCUUCCCCACGCACGAACGACCCCAACUCCUGGAGCGCUCUGGACCGCCCAGAAUUCCAGAUCACGCAUCUCCCUCUCUCUCUCUCACCGCGUCCUCCUCGCUCGCCGCCCCCUGCCGCCUCCUGCACUGCGGCGGCGCGAGCGUCGUGGAGUAGAGAGAUCCCUCCGCCCCGACAUGAACAAGUGAUCCCUUCGUCUUCGUCGUCGUCCCUCGCCGCGCGUACAGGAGGAGGAGGAAUCGAAGGAGCCGCCGUCGUCUUCGUCUUCGUCGUCGUCGUCGUCGUCCCGCUGGCGGCGGCGAGCUGAGAGUCAGGAGGAGGACGCGGAAUGUCGUCGUCCAACUCGCCUUGCGCCGCGUGCAAGCUGCUGCGGCGCAAGUGCACGCAGGGGUGCGUCUUCGCGCCCUACUUCCCGCCCGACAACCCGGCCAAGUUCUCCAGCGUGCACCGCAUCUUCGGCGCCAGCAACGUCUCCAAGCUCCUCAACGAGCUCCCCCAGGCGCAGCGGGAGGACGCCGUCAACUCGCUCGCGUACGAGGCCGAGGCGCGCCUCCGUGACCCCGUCUACGGCUGCGUCUCCUACAUCUCCGUCCUGCAGCUCAGGAUCAAGCAGGUCCGCGAGGAGCUCGCCGCCGCGCGCAAGGAGCUGGCGGGGUACAUUGGGCCCGCGGCCUUCACGCCGUUCGUCGCCACGCCGCAGUACCACCACCACCAGUACGCCGCGGGCGGCGUGCCCCUCGCGGCCGCCGCCGGCAUGGGGCUCGCCGUCGGCGUCGGCCCGCAGCACGGUCACCACCCGCACCACCAGCAGCAGAUCAUGGUGCAUCAGCACCAGCACCAGCACCUCCACCACCAGCAGAUGGCGGCUGCCGAGGCGCAGCAGCAGCUCGCGGCGGCAGUGGAGGUCGCGCGAGAGCAGGAUCUCAUGAUGCGGCAGGCCGCGGUCUACGCGCACGCCGUGCCCGGGAGCAGCGGUGGCGGCGGCGGCGGCGGCGGCGCCACGGUGGCCGUUGUGCCGCCCGACGCCGUGCCGUACGAGGGCGGCUUCCUCUUCCAGCAGCAGCCGCCGCCGUCGCAGGCGCAGACGGCCGUGGCGCUCACGUACCAGAUGGAGCAGUCCCCGCCGCCGUCGUCCUCGGGCCAGUCUCACCCCGAGGUGUCGCAGCAGCAGAACACGGAUGGCAGCGACGAGGGCAGCGGCGGUGUCGUGCCGCCGGCCUGAUCUGCUGAUCUGAUUCGUUCUUCCUCUAGCGCCUUUUGCUUUCUUGUUUGGUGUUCGUUCCUGUUCGUUAUGAAUUUUUUCCCGUUCGGUCGUCUUCAUCAUAUGGCGUCGCGUCGGCAUCGUCGAUCUAGCUAGGAUCCAUGCACGCCUCCCGAAGGCAGGCUAUAGCUGGAUUCUUAAUUACCAAGGUUCCUCAUGAUCAGUUGCCUUUCUUCCUCAAGAGUUAGAGCCAAAUAAAUGCAAGACAGAAGGAGUGGUAGGAAAUGGGGACAGAUACUCAUCAUAUGGAUCAGUGUAACACAGAGAAAUUAAUGGUGGGAAGGUGGAGAGAUGGGGGUAGUAGAGGUAGACAGAAACAGCAGAGAGAAGCAUGCAUGGCAGCGCAGGAGGGGAGCAGCAAAUGGUGAAGUAAGAUAGAGAAACAAAAUGCAUGCAAAUAGCUUAUUGCACUUUGCAGGAGGGAGCAGCAGGCAUGAUGAAUAAAGAAAUUAACACGAACAAGAGGAGCACUCAGCUAAACAUAUAUCUAGCUUCGUUCACUUGUGCAUUUAUUUAGUGUUGAACAUGUGUAUCUUCUUUCUUCACCGCUCUUAUGAGUAUUCUUUUCAACCUUUCCCUCUUUUUCUGGUUUCUCAUUGGUAAAUUCUUUCUGCCGUAUUGCAUUGUGUGUAUAAAGAAAUAGAAUAUCCUUUAUUUGGACAUAAAUGGAUGAUGGAGGCAUGGAGCUACUAGCUAGCAUCAUUUUAA
Molecule: RNA transcript, 2034 nt
Organism: Sorghum bicolor (sorghum)
Lineage: Eukaryota; Viridiplantae; Streptophyta; Magnoliopsida; Poales; Poaceae
Gene name: LOB domain-containing protein 36
Exons: 3
Source: RefSeq, a predicted model, not a curated record